AUCGCUUCUUGGCCUUUUGGCUAAGAUCAAGUGUAGUAUCUGUUCUUAUCAGUUUAAUAAAUCAAAACUCAGCACAAAACUGGAAAUAGCUACUUCAAGAGCACAACAAUUCUAUCUUUCUGCAAUGAGCCAAUAACAAGUGAGAAUUCUGUUUUUUUUUUAAGCAAUCCCAAUACAGAUCAUUUGAGGAACCCAGU
Small nuclear RNA from Ochotona princeps (American pika), 197 nucleotides. RefSeq annotates it as U2 spliceosomal RNA. The record is from RefSeq and is a predicted model, not a curated record. The transcript has a single exon. Lineage: Eukaryota; Metazoa; Chordata; Mammalia; Lagomorpha; Ochotonidae.